Molecule: ribosomal RNA, 253 nt
Filed under: uncultured bacterium
Lineage: Bacteria
Description: partial 16S ribosomal RNA
Rfam family: Bacterial small subunit ribosomal RNA
Source: RNAcentral
UACAGAGGUCUCAAGCGUUGUUCGGAUUCAUUGGGCGUAAAGGGUGCGUAGGUGGCGGGGCAAGUUGGAUGUGAAAUCCCGGAGCUUAACUCCGGAACUGCAUUCAAUACUGCCUUGCUAGAGUACUGGAGAGGAGAUUGGAAUUUACGGUGUAGCAGUGAAAUGCGUAGAUAUCGUAAGGAAGACCAGUGGCGAAGGCGGAUCUCUGGACAGUUACUGACACUGAGGCACGAAGGCCAGGGGAGCAAACGGG